AUGGGAGGCACAGGCCCUGUGACGGGCUCUCAGGAGGGAGCUCCCCAGUCAAUUCUAUCACCUGGGAACUGCACAUCUUUCUUCAAGCAAGUCAUUCCUAAGAAGGUGAAAAGAACCAGGGUGAACACCAUCUCCUCCUCCUUCUUCUCCUCCUCUUCCCUUGCCCGGCCCCAUCCUGUGCAUGUGUUUCAGCCUACACUGGAGCCUGCAUUGUGGAAAAGCCUCUAGCAUGACCACUCAGCUCAGUGAAGUCUCGGGAAAGGCCUUAGCUUGUGCAAUAAGAAGAUUUUUCUUUUUUUAAAAUUCUUCAUUACAUUUUGUUUAAAUGUCUGUGAGAAAAUACCCAGAUCAGACUGGAUUUUGCUCUACAAUAGAAAUAACUGAACUCAACAAACUGACAAAAAAAAUAGAGUUAACUAUUUUAUUUAUUUGAACAUUUAAAAGAAAAAAGUGCUGACAUUGCACAAUAUUUUUGUUUAAAGUACCUUCUACUUCAAAAGUUAAAAGCAAUUUUGUGAAGACGUGAAAUCAAAAGAGUACUUACUGUAAAAUAAAGAGUGCAUAUAAACUCUUAAGGAAACA
Molecule: long non-coding RNA, 582 nt
Filed under: Castor canadensis (American beaver)
Lineage: Eukaryota; Metazoa; Chordata; Mammalia; Rodentia; Castoridae
Description: lncRNA (ENSCCNG00000013358.1)
Source: RNAcentral